GAACUCCUCCGACGGGUGAGCUCCCAUUGAACCCUCCGGACUUCUCCAAUGACAAGCUCCUUCGACCGUCCACCGGACUACUUCAAGUGCCCUCCGGGCUCCAUUAUCAGCCGACCUCUCGCGGCGAUCGACUGAUCUCUGAAUCUCUUCAGACUUCUCCCGACCAUGAUCGACUCUAGUCCGAACUUCCUCCGGACUUCGUCAAUGGCUGAACUUCCCCAAUGGC
RNAcentral lists this long non-coding RNA (226 nucleotides) under Elaeis guineensis (African oil palm). RNAcentral's name for it is "long non-coding RNA (EGUI_LNC027915)". Lineage: Eukaryota; Viridiplantae; Streptophyta; Magnoliopsida; Arecales; Arecaceae. The record is from RNAcentral.